GAUGAACGCUGGCGGCGUGCCUAAUACAUGCAAGUCGAACGCUUCACUUCGGUGAAGAGUGGCGAACGGGUGAGUAAUACAUAAGUAACCUGGCAUCUACAGGGGGAUAACUGAUGGAAACGUCAGCUAAGACCGCAUAGGUGUAGAGAUCGCAUGAACUCUAUAUGAAAAGUGCUACGGGACUGGUAGAUGAUGGACUUAUGGCGCAUUAGCUUGUUGGUAGGGUAACGGCCUACCAAGGCGACGAUGCGUAGCCGACCUGAGAGGGUGACCGGCCACACUGGGACUGAGACACGGCCCAGACUCCUACGGGAGGCAGCAGUAGGGAAUUUUCGGCAAUGGGGGAAACCCUGACCGAGCAACGCCGCGUGAAGGAAGAAGUAAUGCGUUAUGUAAACUUCUGUCAUAGAGGAAGAACGGUGGAUAUAGGGAAUGAUAUCCAAGUGACGGUACUCUAUAAGAAAGCCACGGCUAACUACGUG
RNAcentral lists this ribosomal RNA (482 nucleotides) under uncultured bacterium. RNAcentral describes it as "partial 16S ribosomal RNA". It matches the Rfam family "Bacterial small subunit ribosomal RNA", at positions 28 to 507 of the family's 1533-position model. The record is from RNAcentral.